AGGAGGUCCCUAGAAGUGAGGGAGUUCCAGAUACCCCGUCCUGGUGGAUGCUGCUGCAAGUUAGUGUUUGUGUGCGGUGAGGGGUAGGAAGUGGGUAGAACUCAGAAAUAGACCACAGUGCUUCUGCGCAGAAAAGCAGACCACCCGCUGGGGUACCGGCUUCUCUGUCCUGGCGGAUCCGGGUGUGGCGGGGACGAGAAUCGCUCCCAUGCUUAACCCUGACGUUUGGAAAUCCUUCCCGGACAUUGUCAUUGUGAGACUCUCACGCGCCCGGCAGCCUCGGCACGUGGCUGACGGUGAUUUGCUGGAAGUCGUGUUGGAAAUGCGGCUCAGUGGCUGACUUCACAGUAGUAGAAACAGCUCCACCCAAAACUUAGGUGCUUUUUCUUAAGCAGGUUCAAGGAGGUUAUUUUCUCCCUUUGGUUUUCUUUCGGAUGUGUGUUGUAACAUGAACCAAAGCGGGACACAGGUGCAGUUACCGUGGGGUCCCACGUCAGCCUGAAUUUCCUGCCGGGCCGACACACAGCCUGGCCCUCGUGGGUGGGGUGGGAGGGUGCAGAGAGGCACAGAGGGCCAUGGUCGGUGGAAGGGCUUCCCGUCUCUUGCCUGGUCCUGUUGGUGAAAAUGAAGGGCUCUUGUUCCAGGCCUGUCACCUUGGCACCCUUUAAUUAACAGUGAACUCACUUCAUUCUGUGAUUUUAAAAGCUGAUGCAUUUCACCCAAAUGAACGUAACCCCACCUAUUUGUCGUUGAAGUAGAGCUUUCCUGGAGGACCACAUCUUCUCGACAGGUCGCAGGUCUGGCCUUGCCCGGCGCUGGUGAGCCCCAGCUGGCUUAGACCGUGUAGCUCGUCUGUUAAAGUCUGACCAGAAGUGGCCGGGCGCAGUGGCUCAUGCCCGUAAUCCCAGCACCUUGGGAGGCUGAGGCGGGUGGAUCACGAGGUCAGGAGUUCAAGACCAGCCUGGCCAAGAUGGUGAGACCCGCCCCCCCACUCCCCAUCUCUACUAAAAAUACAAAAAAUUAGCCAGGUGUGGUGGCAGGCGCCUGUAAUCUCAGCUACUCGGGAGGCUGAGGCAGAGAAUUGCCUGAACCCAGGAGGUGGACAUUGCAGUGAACUGAGAUGACGCCACUGCACUCCAGCCUGGGCAACUGAGCAAGACUGUCUCAAAAAAAAAUCUGGCCAGAAGUCCAGUCGAGGGAAAGUUUAUCGCCGCAGAGACAGAUGUAGGGGUGGUCAAGAGCGUGGCCCUCUGUGAGGAGGAUGUAAAGUCCUCCAGGCCCAGCUCCGGGGCUCUCUGGUACUAGCUCCAGGCGCAGAGGGAGUCUCUGAGAACAGGGUUGCUGGGGACAGCCGCGGUGCCUGACCUGCAGGCCUCCAUCGUUGCUGUCUGCAACUUCAGCCUCUGCCCUGAAGCUGUGGGGAAAGCUGAUCUGAAUCGUCCCCGAGAGCUUGGGGAGCGCCGAGGGGGCAUGCAGGGCUGUGGCCAGCAGCGUGAACCCCUCGAGACUGUGGCACCCCUCCUCCUCCUCAGUCCGACAGCUGGCUCCCAAGGGAUCUCCCGCAGCCUCGGGGUGAUGCAGGAGAUCUUCGCCACCAAUGUGUUUCCCAUCUGUGCUCCUCAAAGAAGGCCCCAGCCCACGCAGCAGGAGGACACACUGCCGAAGGGACCAGUUGGACGGCCUUCUGGCUUUAGCGCCUGUGCCUUUCAGGACCUUAAAUACAGAAAGGAACCGAGUGCUCUGUGCAGCCCCUCCAAGACGGUCGCUACAGCGCCAGCACCACCUGCGCCGGGCCAUCAUGCCGUGACCGGACUUGGUUUACGAAUACAGUGUACGAGGUUAAGAUAUGAUAAAGUGUAAAAAUAUAUGUUAUAGCCACGGUGGUUAGUUUAACAUGUUUUGUAUAUAUGAUUUUUAUAAAUCUAUUAAAAUGUG
Molecule: long non-coding RNA, 1935 nt
Filed under: Homo sapiens (human)
Lineage: Eukaryota; Metazoa; Chordata; Mammalia; Primates; Hominidae
Description: non-protein coding lnc-GNA12-1:1
Source: RNAcentral